CGGGGACAAGGGAGAGACGGGCGACGUUGGACCCCUGGGUCCCCCCGGCCCUCCCGGACCUCGAGGCCCCUCCGGAGCUUCCGGAGCCGACGGACCUCAGGGACCUCCCGGAGGCGUCGGGAAUUUGGGACCCCCCGGACAGAAGGUGAAUCCCGG
This is a non-coding RNA of Cyanistes caeruleus (blue tit), 156 nucleotides long. NCBI's taxonomy places the organism in Eukaryota, Metazoa, Chordata, Aves, Passeriformes, Paridae. The record is from RefSeq and is a predicted model, not a curated record.